RNAcentral lists this ribosomal RNA (701 nucleotides) under uncultured archaeon. Its description in RNAcentral is "bacterial SSU rRNA". It matches the Rfam family "Archaeal small subunit ribosomal RNA", at positions 168 to 871 of the family's 1478-position model. The record is from RNAcentral.
GGUUGGAAUAAUCCUUUUCUGAAAGGACAUCCGCCUAAGGAUGGGACUGCGUCUGAUUAGGUAGUUGGUGGGGUAAUGGCCCACCAAGCCCUACAAUCAGUACGGGCCUUGAGAGAGGGAGCCCGGAGAUGGGGACUGAGACACAGCCCCAGGCCCUACGGGGCGCAGCAGGCGCGAAACCUCCACAAUGCACGAAAGUGCGAUGGGGGGAUCCCAAGUGCUUAUGCAAAGCAUAAGCUUUUCCCAAGUCUAAACAACUUGGGGAAUAAGGGCUGGGCAAGUCCGGUGCCAGCAGCCGCGGUAACACCGGCGGCCCAAGUGGUAGCCACUCUUAUUGGGCCUAAAGCGUCCGUAGCCGGUUUAGUAAGUCUCUGUUUAAAUCCUACGGCUUAACCGUAGGGCUGGCAGAGAUACUGCUAGACUUGGGACCGGGAGAGGAAGAGGGUACUUCAGGGGUAGCGGUGAAAUGCGUUGAUCCCUGAGGGACCACCUAUGGCGAAGGCACUCUUCUGGAACGGGUCCGACGGUGAGGGACGAAAGCUAGGGGAGCGAACCGGAUUAGAUACCCGGGUAGUCCUAGCCGUAAACUUUGCGAACUAGGUGUUAUCUGGACCUCGGGUCCAGGUAGUGCCGAAGGGAAGCCAUUAAGUUCGCCGCCUGGGGAGUACGGUCGCAAGACUGAAACUCAAAGGAAUUGACGG